RNAcentral lists this ribosomal RNA (372 nucleotides) under uncultured organism. RNAcentral's name for it is "partial 16S ribosomal RNA". It matches the Rfam family "Bacterial small subunit ribosomal RNA", at positions 527 to 896 of the family's 1533-position model. The record is from RNAcentral.
GUAGGUGGCAAGCGUUGUCCAGAAUUAUUGGGCGUAAAGCGCGCGCAGGCGGUCCUCUAAGUCUGAUGUGAAAGCCCACGGGCUCAACCGUGAGGGUCAUUGGAAACUGGGGGACUUGAGUACAGAAGAGGAAAGCGGAAUUCCAAGUGUAGCGGUGAAAUGCGUAGAGAUUUGGAGGAACACCAGUGGCGAAGGCGGCUUUCUGGUCUGUAACUGACGCUGAGGCGCGAAAGCGUGGGGAGCAAACAGGAUUAGAUACCCUGGUAGUCCACGCCGUAAACGAUGAGUGCUAAGUGUUAGGGGGUUUCCGCCCCUUAGUGCUGCAGCUAACGCAUUAAGCACUCCGCCUGGGGAGUACGGCCGCAAAGGCUG